GACGAACGCUGGCGGCGUGCUUAACACAUGCGAGUCGAACGGAAAGGCCCUGCUUUUGUGGGGUGCUCGAGUGGCGAACGGGUGAGUAACACGUGAGUAACCUGCCCUUGACUUUGGGAUAACUUCAGGAAACUGGGGCUAAUACCGGAUAGGAGCUCCUGCUGCAUGGUGGGGGUUGGAAAGUUUCGGCGGUUGGGGAUGGACUCGCGGCUUAUCAGCUUGUUGGUGGGGUAGUGGCUUACCAAGGCUUUGACGGGUAGCCGGCCUGAGAGGGUGACCGGCCACAUUGGGACUGAGAUACGGCCCAGACUCCUACGGGAGGCAGCAGUGGGGAAUAUUGCACAAUGGGCGGAAGCCUGAUGCAGCAACGCCGCGUGCGGGAUGACGGCCUUCGGGUUGUAAACCGCUUUCGCCUGUAACGAAGCGUGAGUGACGGUAAUGGGUAAAGAAGCACCGGCUAACUACGUG
Molecule: ribosomal RNA, 468 nt
Filed under: uncultured bacterium
Lineage: Bacteria
Description: partial 16S ribosomal RNA
Rfam family: Bacterial small subunit ribosomal RNA
Source: RNAcentral